UGAGCAAUCUGCCCCUCUCAUCGGAAUAAGCGUUGGAAACGACGUCUAAUGCCGAAUACGACCUCCUUUCGCAUGAUCGGAGGUGGAAAGCUCCGGCGGAGAAGGAUGAGCUCGCGGCCUAUCAGCUAGUUGGUGUGGGUAAUGGCCCACCAAGGCGACGACGGGUAGCCGGCCUAAGAGGGUGACCGGCCACACUGGGACUGAGACACGGCCCAGACCUCCUACGGGAGGNAGCG
RNAcentral lists this ribosomal RNA (236 nucleotides) under uncultured bacterium. RNAcentral's name for it is "partial 16S ribosomal RNA". It matches the Rfam family "Bacterial small subunit ribosomal RNA", at positions 118 to 353 of the family's 1533-position model. The record is from RNAcentral.